This 438-nucleotide ribosomal RNA is filed under the name uncultured bacterium. RNAcentral's name for it is "partial 16S ribosomal RNA". It matches the Rfam family "Bacterial small subunit ribosomal RNA", at positions 339 to 795 of the family's 1533-position model. The record is from RNAcentral.
CUACAGGGGGCUGCAGUGAGGAAUAUUGCACAAUGGGGGGAACCCUGAUGCAGCAACGCCGCGUGGAGGAUGACGCAUUUCGGUGUGUAAACUCCUUUUAUAUGUCAAGAAAAUGACGGUAGCAUAUGAAUAAGCACCGGCUAACUCCGUGCCAGCAGCCGCGGUAAUACGGAGGGUGCAAGCGUUACUCGGAAUCACUGGGCGUAAAGGACGCGUAGGCGGGUUGGAAAGUCAGGUGUGAAAUCCUACAGCUUAACUGUAGAACUGCACUUGAAACUUCUAAUCUAGAGUAUGGGAGGGGGAGAUGGAAUUAGUGGUGUAGGGGUAAAAUCCGUAGAUAUCACUAGGAAUACCUAAAGCGAAGGCGAUCUCCUGGAACAUUACUGACGCUAAGGCGUGAAAGCGUGGGGAGCAAACAGGAUUAGAUACCCGUGAGUC